AUCCAAAGUGUUGAGUUCAGCUCUGGGUUUCUGUCCCAGUCUGGUAAUUGAACUUUGGAACAGCAAAGCGGACAGAGGUUCCUGUUCUGGUGUCACCUUCAUAUGGCAUUGGAUGACACUCUUCCCAACAUGU
Lampris incognitus (smalleye Pacific opah) is the source of this 133-nucleotide small nucleolar RNA. The record is from RefSeq and is a predicted model, not a curated record. NCBI's taxonomy places the organism in Eukaryota, Metazoa, Chordata, Actinopteri, Lampriformes, Lampridae.